CUUUAACACGCUGGGUGACUCUCACCCGCAGGCCCCUGCCUCUCACCAGGGACUCCCUUCCUCUGACCUCCUUUAGGUGAUUAGCUAGACGUGUCUUUUCUAGUGAGGCCAUCCCGACUGCCCUAUUUCAUGCCGUAAUCUGUCCCCUCCCCUGGCUCUACUCAUUUUCCACGGCAGGCAUCACUUUCUAACAGACCAUUUAACUUGUGUAUUAUGCUGCCCCUGCUGGAAUAUAAGCUCUAUGAGGUGGGGGAUCUUUGUCCCUGUUGUUCCCUGGUAUUUCCCAAGCACCUAGAACACGGCCUAGCCCUUAGCAGGUGCUCAAUAAACAGGUGUUAACAACGGGCAUUUGUUGCUGUGUCUACUUUGGCAUGGCAUCCUCCUCCAGACGCAGGUGUAAGACCUGGCGUAUGACAGACCUUCAGCAAGUGUCAGUUGACUGACACAGUGGGUGUGUGAGUGAAUGCAUGAAUCAAUGAAUCAAAGCCCGACUGGGAAAAAGGCUGAGUAUCUUCAUAGACCCUUUAAGAGGCACAGGUUCUUUCUUCAAGUUUACUUUGUCCUUGACAUCUUUUCAGCCACAUUCUUCUUUCCGAAUAGCCCUGAUGCUGAGGGUGGGGACAGCCAUUUUCUCUCUCAGGGGAUGUUCUGGAAUGAGACAAAAGAGUGACCUCAAAAAAAUCUGGGAAAGCAGCCACCUUGAAAAAUAGAUCUUAGAAGAAAGAAUUUCAAGAGAGGGGCCAAAAGAGGAAGCACGCAGGGGUCCCUGAAGUCUAGUCCACCUGAACUCCGGAGCCUUCUACCUUGUAACGAUGAGCACACUGAGGUCCUAGAGAAGCCAAGAAAACUGACCAAAGCCACGUAAGCAAUAAGCGGUGGAGCUGGGUUUCGAACUCCAGCAGUCCGAGUCAAGGGUCCGCCGGGCGGGGGUUAGACUAUGCAGGUGAGGAUUUUGACUUUUCCGAAGCGCAGUGGGCAGCCACUGAAGGUAAUUUAAGCAAGGACUAAUAUGAUCUGUUAUCUGUAAAGAGGACGAAUAACUCCUCCCUCACGGGGCUGCUGUGGGGAUUAUCUUGGUUCCUGGAUGGAAAGCCCUUGGACAAGCGCCUGGAGGAAGAGAAGCACUCAACGAAUAAAUGAUCCUUCUGGAGGCGGCGGCUCAGGCCGGCCGGAUGGUGCACAGGAUUUUACACGUGGGCAUCUGCUGCCGCCCGGUGGCCGCUUCGCUGUAUGACAUGCCGUGGAUUCGGUCCAGCCAAAUUCGCGAGGGGCGGGGCUGGUCCCGGCGCGGAGAAACGGCUGCAUCCGGGGCUGGGGCCCAAGCAAGGGAGGAGCUCCCAGAGCCGGGCUGGAGGGCUGGGUGAGGGCCUGUGUGGGCAGAGGUGCGGAAUCCUGGAGUGGAUUAACCGACUCACCUAUUCAGCCCUAGGUUGGCGACCCAAACCCUAAUGAGACGUGGUCCUUGCCCAAGAGGACCUCAGAGUCCGAUGGGGAGACAACGAGGAGGCGCCUUGGUGUCUGAGGAACAGCGAGGACUCCUGGGCCGGAGUCCCAGUCCUGCCACUUCCCGGGGACUUCACUGCCCGGAACAGCAGUUUCUUCGUAUAUCAAAUGGGGACAGAAUAGAGCCUGCCUGUGGGGUUGUGAAGACCAAAGGAAAACACUAAAUUGGCACAUUGUCAGCGCUCCAUCUGUGGCCAGAGGCAGGCUGCCCAGCCGGCUCUGAGCCUCAGUAAAGAUUAACCAAGCAGCCAGGUACAAUGGAAAAGAAGACCUGUGUCCCAGUUCCAUUGCUGGCACUAAACUUGCUAUGUGACCUUGGCAAGUCAUUUCCCCUCUCGGAGCCUGUUUCACCGGUCAUACAAGGUGAAGGUUGGACGAAAUCAGAUCUCUUCCUGCUCUAAUUUAUCAAGCCUCCUUUCUGGGCCAGCCCAGAUUUUUGGCCAUGGGGCAUACAGAAGAAGAUCCAGGCUUGCCCCGACCCGUUCACAUACCCAACCCAGAGCAUCAGCAAAAUGGACGUAAUAAUUCAAGCCCCAUCCAACCACAGGGUAGCUGGGAGACAACUGUGAGGCUCUGUCGAGCUAACAAUGUGGAAGCUGGUGAGAUGCAUGAAUUGCAGAGGAGUCUUGCUCCUUAAAGUGUGGUCCAUGGACAGAUAUCACCUGGGAGCUUGUUAGGAAUACAGACUCUUAGGUCCCACCCUGACCCACUGACCCAGGACCUGCAGUUGAACUCGGUUCCCAGGCUAUUCCUACACACAUUUAAAUGAGUUGGAGACACACUGGUCUGGGGCAGUGGUUCUCAACCUCGGCCACACAAGAGCAUCCCCAAGAAGUCUUCAAAAGUCCUCGUACCCAGGAUGUACCCCUGGGGGCUCUGGGAGUGGGACCCAGACACCAGUGGUUUUUAAAAGCUUUCCAGGUAAUUCCAAAGUGCAGCCAUAUCUAGUGCCACUAAGGCAAAUAUAUUUUCUCUUUUGUGCCAACUAAAAUGAAUGGAUAGUGACUUUCUAGAAUGUUCACUGAGAAAGAGCUGGUGUGUGCCAUUGGGGCUGGGUAGAAGCUGUGGCAUAAAAGCCAAGGUGUAGCAAGAAGCCAGCCUUUAUGGAGCCCUACUGGGUGCCAGGCCCUGGGCUACCUGCCCUACAAGUAUGCUGCAGCUUAAUCCUUGCACUAACCAGGGUGUAACCAUCCCCCAUAAGAUCCCCCACCCCAUCGCUCUUACAUUGGGCUCGGCAGAGACUCCUUUUGGAGAGAGCCCGCCAGCCUGGAGCAUCUUGGGUCACGUGCUGCCCAGUCUCGCUGACAGAUGUGCCCUGUCCCUGCUGCGUGGGGACCCGAGGAACUAAUCCCCAUAGCGGAGGGCGUACAUGGAUUAGUGCUGGGAAAAUCAGGCGCCACAUCUGCCAGCCCCUGGGGAGCUUGGGUGAAGCCUGCGCCACAGAGCUGGGGAAGCCACUCCUGUCCCCUGGAACACGGGGCACUCCCGGAGGCGCUGGCCAGCGAUGGCGGGACCUGAAUUGCCCUGUCCCUCCUGAGCCUUCCAGAAGAGGCCCGCUUGGACCUCUCUUUGCCUUCACUCCUCUGACUCAGUUUCCUGCUCACCGGGUUUCCUGGGCUGUAGACCUGAAUCCUCAGGGAGCAGGACUCUUGCACGCCUUGGAGAGAAUGAAGGCCCAGGCUGUCUCGUGACUGAAGAUUCCAGAGGCCCGAGUUUGAGGUCCAGCUCUCCACCAGCUCGCUGUUCCUCACUCUUCAACGGCCUGUACUACACUCACCUAGUCAUUCAGCAAUCCUCACCAAGCCCCCGG
Molecule: long non-coding RNA, 3313 nt
Organism: Equus caballus (horse)
Lineage: Eukaryota; Metazoa; Chordata; Mammalia; Perissodactyla; Equidae
Source: Ensembl